Molecule: RNA transcript, 2161 nt
Organism: Rhinopithecus roxellana (golden snub-nosed monkey)
Lineage: Eukaryota; Metazoa; Chordata; Mammalia; Primates; Cercopithecidae
Gene name: keratin, type I cytoskeletal 18 pseudogene
Exons: 1
Source: RefSeq, a predicted model, not a curated record
UGUCUUUCCUUAGUUAGAGCAGUUUUUUUGUUCCUGGUUAAUUAUCAAAAAACAAGAAAGCCCUUGAUUAGUUCAUUCUCAUCAUCUUGCACAAGCCUGUGUAUGUAACAUUAGUACAUAUGAAAGAGGUAGCCAAGGAGAGUUAUUAGAUGCUCAUAGUAGAGGCAGGUACACCACAUACUGAUCAUGUCACUGUCAUUUCUUGAGAGUGACAGCUUGUAGUUCUUAGUGGCACUAUUAACAUUUUAAGCUGUCGAAUUCUUUGUUGAAGGGUUGUUCUUUGAGUUGAAGGAUUCCUAGUAGCAUUCCUGGCCUCUACCCACUAAAUGACAGCAUCACAUACUCUUCCACUUGUGAUAAUCAGAAAUAUUUCCAGACAUUACCAGUGUCCCUUGAGGAUGACAGAAUCACCCCUGGAUGAGACUGGUGUGUCUCUUGUCUUUGUAUUUAACUGCUGUAGACAAGGUGCUAUCUCAUUUGAUUUUCAUAACAACUCUAUAAUUUGGACAUGUAUUUCUAUUCCUGUUCAAUAAAUAGAAACCAAGGUUCAGAGAGGUUAUGUAAUUUGCAGGUAAUUGUGUAACUGGCAAGUGGGAAGGACCACAGCUGUAACCCAGCUCUGCCUCGAGAUCCAGUGCUGUUUUUUAAAAUACCAUGCAGCUUGCGACCACGUAGAUACACUUUGCAGAUUUAUCUUUCUAUGAAAGAAGGGAAAGCAUUGGAUCCAUUUUGUGCUGCAAGGAGAAUAAAAAAGAUGAAGUAGGUCGGCAAAGCCUGAGUCCUGUCGUCUCGCCUUCCUCCCAUACAGCAUGAGCUUCACCACUCGCUCCACCUUCUCUACCAACUACCGGUCCCUGGGCUCUGUCCAGGCGCCCAGCUACGGCGCCCGGCCGGUCAGCAGCGCGGCCAGUGUCUAUGCAGGCGCCGGGGGCUCUGGUUCCCGGAUCUCCGUGUCCUGCUCCACCAGCUUCCGGGGCGGCAUGGGGUCCGGGGGCCUGGCCUCAGGGAUGGCUGGGGGUCUGGCAGGAAUGGGAGGCAUCCAGAACGAGAAGGAGACCAUGCAAAGCCUGAACGACCGCCUGGCCUCUUACCUGGACAGAGUGAGGAGCCUGGAGACCGAGAACCGGAGGCUGGAGAGCAAAAUCCGGGAGCACUUGGAGAAGAAGGGACCCCAGGUCAGAGACUGGAGCCAUUACUUCAAGAUCAUCGAGGACCUGAGGGCUCAGAUCUUCGCAAAUACUGUGGACAAUGCCCGCAUCGUUCUGCAGAUUGACAAUGCCCGUCUUGCUGCUGAUGACUUUAGAGUCAAGUAUGAGACAGAGCUGGCCAUGCGCCAGUCUGUGGAGAAUGACAUCCAUGGGCUCUGCAAGGUCAUUGAUGACACCAAUGUCACUCGACUGCAGCUGGAGACAGAGAUCGAGGCUCUCAAGGAGGAGCUGCUCUUCAUGAAGAAGAACCACGAAGAGGAAGUAAAAGGCCUACAAGCCCAGAUUGCCAGCUCUGGGUUGACCGUGGAGGUAGAUGCCCCCAAAUCUCAGGACCUCGCCAAGAUCAUGGCACACAUCCGGGCCCAAUAUGACGAGCUGGCUCGGAAGAACCGAGAGGAGUUAGACAAGUACUGGUCUCAGCAGAUUGAGGAGAGCACCACAGUGGUCACCACACAGUCCACCGAGGUUGGAGCUGCUGAGACGACGCUCACAGAGCUGAGACGUACAGUCCAGUCCUUGGAGAUCGACCUGGACUCCAUGAGAAAUCUGAAGGCCAGCUUGGAGAACCGCCUGAGGGAGGUGGAGGCCCGCUACGCCCUACAGAUGGAGCUGCUCAAUGGGAUCCUGCUGCACCUGGAGUCAGAGCUGGCACAGACCCGGGCAGAGGGACAGCGACAGGCCCAGGAGUAUGAGGCCCUGCUGAACAUCAAGGUCAAGCUGGAAGCUGAGAUUGCCACCUACCGCCGCCUGCUGGAAGAUGGCGAGGAAUUCAAUCUUGGUGAUGCCUUGGACAGCAGCAACUCCAUGCAAACCAUCCAAAAGACCACCACCCGCCUUAUAGUGGAUGGCAAAGUGGUGUCUGAGACCAACGACACCAAAGUUCUGAGGCAUUAAGCCAGCAAAAGCAGGGUACCCUUUGGGGAGCAGGAGGCCAAUAAAAAGUUCAGAGUUCA